AACGAACGCUGGCGGCAUGCCUAACACAUGCAAGUCGAACGAGACCUUCGGGUCUAGUGGCGCACGGGUUCGUAACGCGUGGGAACCUGCCCUUAGGUUCGGAAUAACUCCCCGAAAGGGGUGCUAAUACCGGAUAAUGUCUUCGGACCAAAGAUUUAUCGCCUUUGGAUGGGCCCGCGUUGUAUUAGCUAGUUGGUAGGGUAAAAGCCUACCAAGGCGAGGAUCCAUAGCUGGUUUGAGAGGAUGAUCAGCCACACUGGGACUGAGACACGGCCCAGACUACUACGGGAGGCAGCAGUGGGGAAUAUUGGACAAUGGGCGAAAGCAUGAUGCAGCAAUGACGGGUGAGUGAUGAAGGUCGUAGGGUUGUAAAGCUAUUUUACCCGGGAUGAUAAUGACAGUACCGGGAGAAUAAGCUCCGGCUAACUCCGUG
This 433-nucleotide ribosomal RNA is filed under the name uncultured bacterium. RNAcentral's name for it is "partial 16S ribosomal RNA". It matches the Rfam family "Bacterial small subunit ribosomal RNA", at positions 29 to 507 of the family's 1533-position model. The record is from RNAcentral.